GCUCAGUUGGUAAAGCACAAGGCUCUUAACCUUGUGGACGUGGAUUCAAGUCCCAC
Non-coding RNA from Triticum aestivum (bread wheat), 56 nucleotides. NCBI's taxonomy places the organism in Eukaryota, Viridiplantae, Streptophyta, Magnoliopsida, Poales, Poaceae. The record is from Rfam.